GUGCUCGCUUCAGCAGCACAUAUACUAAAAUUGGAACAAUAUAGAGAAGAUUAGCAUGACCCCUAUGCAUGGAUGACAGGCAAAUUCGUGAAGCAUUUCAUAUUUUU
Small nuclear RNA from Sciurus vulgaris (Eurasian red squirrel), 107 nucleotides. NCBI's taxonomy places the organism in Eukaryota, Metazoa, Chordata, Mammalia, Rodentia, Sciuridae. The record is from Ensembl.